CUCCAGUGAGUGUCUCUAAGGUAGAUCCUAAUGCAGAUGGAUGGAAUGUUGAUCCGCCUAACAUGCAAGAUUUUCUGUACCGAGAACUUUGGAUGACCAUCAAGACAAGCACUCGUUUUGAGUCCUGAAACCCUGGGGUGACCACCGUGAACAAAUACAGACUGCAAAAAGGCAGUCUUGACGGUACUAGGAUGAAUGCAAAUAAAGACUAACCACC
This is a non-coding RNA of Paramisgurnus dabryanus, 217 nucleotides long. The record is from RefSeq and is a predicted model, not a curated record. NCBI's taxonomy places the organism in Eukaryota, Metazoa, Chordata, Actinopteri, Cypriniformes, Cobitidae.